RNAcentral lists this ribosomal RNA (253 nucleotides) under uncultured bacterium. RNAcentral's name for it is "partial 16S ribosomal RNA". It matches the Rfam family "Bacterial small subunit ribosomal RNA", at positions 524 to 776 of the family's 1533-position model. The record is from RNAcentral.
UACAGAGGUCCCAAGCGUUGUUCGGAUUCAUUGGGCGUAAAGGGUGCGUAGGCGGCGCGGUAAGUCGGGUGUGAAAUCUCGGAGCUUAACUCCGAAACUGCAUUCGAUACUGCCGUGCUUGAGGACUGGAGAGGAGACUGGAAUUUACGGUGUAGCGGUGAAAUGCGUAGAGAUCCGGAGGAACACCGACGGCGUAGGCAGCGCCCUGGACGACACCUGACGCUGAGGCACGAAAGCUGGGGGAGCGAACAGG